GGUCCUACGGGACGCAGCAGUGAGGAAUAUUGGUCAAUGGACGAAAGUCUGAACCAGCCAUGCCGCGUGCAGGAAGACGGCUCUAUGAGUUGUAAACUGCUUUUGUACAAGGGUAAACCUGAAUACGUGUAUUCAGCUGAAAGUACUGUACGAAUAAGGAUCGGCUAACUCCGUGCCAGCAGCCGCGGUAAUACGGAAGGUCCGGGCGUUAUCCGGAUUUAUUGGGUUUAAAGGGAGCGUAGGCGGGCCGUUAAGUCAGUUGUGAAAGUUCGGGGCUCAACCCCGGAAUUGCAGUUGAAACUGCC
Molecule: ribosomal RNA, 305 nt
Filed under: uncultured bacterium
Lineage: Bacteria
Description: bacterial SSU rRNA
Rfam family: Bacterial small subunit ribosomal RNA
Source: RNAcentral